This 561-nucleotide ribosomal RNA is filed under the name uncultured bacterium. RNAcentral describes it as "bacterial SSU rRNA". It matches the Rfam family "Bacterial small subunit ribosomal RNA", at positions 338 to 916 of the family's 1533-position model. The record is from RNAcentral.
CCUACGGGAGGCAGCAGUGGGGAAUCUUGCACAAUGGGGGAAACCCUGAUGCAGCGACGCCGCGUGAGCGAUGAAGCCCUUCGGGGCGUAAAGCUCUUUCGGCAGGGACGAAACAUGACGGUACCUGCAGAAGCAGCUGCGGCUAACUACGUGCCAGCAGCCGCGGUAAUACGUAGGCAGCAAGCGUUGUUCGGAGUUACUGGGCGUAAAGGGUGCGUAGGCGGUCCCCUAAGUUCGGUGUGAAAUCUCCCGGCUCAACUGGGAGGGUGCGCCGGAAACUGAGGGACUAGAGUGCGGGAGGGGAGAGCGGAAUUCCUGGUGUAGCGGUGAAAUGCGUAGAUAUCAGGAGGAACACCGGUGGUGCAGACGGCUCUCUGGACCGUAACUGACGCUGAGGCACGAAAGCGUGGGUAGCAAACAGGAUUAGAUACCCUGGUAGUCCACGCCCUAAACGAUGCAUGCUUGGUGCUGGUGAUUCAGUUCAUCGGUGCCGGAGCUAACGCGUUAAGCAUGCCGCCUGGGGAGUACAGUCGCAAGGCUGAAACUCAAAGGAAUUGACGG